UUCCUACGGGUGGCAGCAGUAGGGAAUAUUGCGCAAUGGACGAAAGUCUGACGCAGCGACGCCGCGUGAGUGAUGAAGGCCUUAGGGUCGUAAAGCUCUGUUGAAUGGGAAGAAAAAAAUGACGGUACCAUUCGAGGAAGGACCGGCUAACUUCGUGCCAGCAGCCGCGGUAAUACGAGGGGUCCUAGCGUUGUUCGGAAUCAUUGGGCGUAAAGGGUGUGUAGGUGGCCAUGUAAGUCAGGUGUGAAAGCCCCGGGAUCAACCCGGGAAGUGCACUUGAUACUGCGUGGCUUGAGUACCGAAGAGGGUAGUGGAAUUCCAGGUGUAGUGGUGAAAUACGUAGAUAUCUGGAGGAACACCGGUGGCGAAGGCGGCUACCUGGUCGAGUACUGACACUGAGACACGAAAGCAUGGGGAUCAAACAGGAUUAGAUACCCUGGUAGUC
RNAcentral lists this ribosomal RNA (445 nucleotides) under uncultured Bdellovibrio sp. RNAcentral describes it as "bacterial SSU rRNA". It matches the Rfam family "Bacterial small subunit ribosomal RNA", at positions 336 to 795 of the family's 1533-position model. The record is from RNAcentral. Lineage: Bacteria; Pseudomonadati; Bdellovibrionota; Bdellovibrionia; Bdellovibrionales; Pseudobdellovibrionaceae.